GGCCUAAACCAGACGGGGUAGCUCUCUGGCAUGGCAUAAACCGGUAAAAGAUAGAGAACCCAUCAUGGGAGCACUUUUACCGGUCCUGUCGGGAAACUGGCAGUGGGUAGCCGAGCUACC
Molecule: small RNA, 120 nt
Filed under: unclassified sequences
Description: LOOT RNA
Rfam family: LOOT RNA
About the family: Latescibacteria, OD1/Parcubacteria, OP11, TM7. Lineage (Microgenomates, aka OP11)
Source: Rfam by way of RNAcentral